Molecule: ribosomal RNA, 254 nt
Filed under: uncultured bacterium
Lineage: Bacteria
Description: partial 16S ribosomal RNA
Rfam family: Bacterial small subunit ribosomal RNA
Source: RNAcentral
UACGUAGGGUGCAAGCGUUGUCCGGAAUUAUUGGGCGUAAAGAGCUCGUAGGCGGUGUGUUACGUCGGCCGUGAAAACCUGCAGCUUAACUGUGGGCGUGCGGUCGAUACGGGCAUCACUGGAGUUCGGCAGGGGAGACUGGAAUUCCUGGUGUAGCGGUGAAAUGCGCAGAUAUCAGGAGGAACACCGGUGGCGAAGGCGGGUCUCUGGGCCGAUACUGACGCUGAGGAGCGAAAGCGUGGGGAGCAAACAGG